GAUGAACGCUGGCGGCGUGCUUAACACAUGCAAGUCGAACGAAGCACUUUAUUUGAUUUCCUUCGGGACUGAUUAUUUUGUGACUGAGUGGCGGACGGGUGAGUAACGCGUGGGUAACCUGCCUUGUACAGGGGGAUAACAGUUGGAAACGGCUGCUAAUACCACAUAAGCGCACAGCAUCGCAUGAUGCAGUGUGAAAAACUCCGGUGGUAUAAGAUGGACCCGCGUUGGAUUAGCUAGUUGGUGAGGUAACGGCCCACCAAGGCGACGAUCCAUAGCCGACCUGAGAGGGUGACCGGCCACAUUGGGACUGAGACACGGCCCAAACUCCUACGGGAGGCAGCAGUGGGGAAUAUUGCACAAUGGGCGAAAGCCUGAUGCAGCGACGCCGCGUGAGCGAAGAAGUAUUUCGGUAUGUAAAGCUCUAUCAGCAGGGAAGAUAAUGACGGUACCUGACUAAGAAGCACCGGCUAAAUACGUG
This 481-nucleotide ribosomal RNA is filed under the name uncultured bacterium. RNAcentral's name for it is "partial 16S ribosomal RNA". It matches the Rfam family "Bacterial small subunit ribosomal RNA", at positions 28 to 507 of the family's 1533-position model. The record is from RNAcentral.